AAGGAAUGAGUUUUUAAAAAUAACUGCUUUCGAACCAGUCGUCUUAGGUCUCAACCCUAAAUUCCUAA
RNAcentral lists this transfer RNA (68 nucleotides) under Chamaeleo calcaricarens (Awash chameleon). RNAcentral's name for it is "tRNA-Arg". The record is from RNAcentral. Lineage: Eukaryota; Metazoa; Chordata; Lepidosauria; Squamata; Chamaeleonidae.